UCCUACGGGGCGCAGCAGUGGGGAAUAUUGCGCAAUGGGGGAAACCCUGACGCAGCAACGCCGCGUGAGUGAGGAAGUAUCUCGGUAUGUAAAGCUCUAUCAGCGGGGAAGAAGGAAGACGGUACCCGACUAAGAAGCCCCGGCUAACUACGUGCCAGCAGCCGCGGUAAUACGUAGGGGGCGAGCGUUAUCCGGAUUUACUGGGUGUAAAGGGAGCGUAGACGGCAGAGCAAGUCUGAAGUGAAAGCCCGCGGCCCAACUGCGGGACUGCUUUGGAAACUGCCCGGCUAGAGUGCUGGCGAGGU
RNAcentral lists this ribosomal RNA (305 nucleotides) under uncultured bacterium. RNAcentral describes it as "bacterial SSU rRNA". It matches the Rfam family "Bacterial small subunit ribosomal RNA", at positions 337 to 658 of the family's 1533-position model. The record is from RNAcentral.